Molecule: transfer RNA, 73 nt
Organism: Ovis aries (sheep)
Lineage: Eukaryota; Metazoa; Chordata; Mammalia; Artiodactyla; Bovidae
Rfam family: tRNA
About the family: Transfer RNA (tRNA) molecules are approximately 80 nucleotides in length. Their secondary structure includes four short double-helical elements and three loops (D, anti-codon, and T loops).
Source: Rfam
UCCCUGGUAGUCCAGUGGCUAAGACUCUACACUCCCAAUUCAGGGGGCCUGGGUUCGAUUCUUCGUCAGGGAA